This is a long non-coding RNA of Trachemys scripta elegans, 663 nucleotides long. RefSeq lists it as uncharacterized. Lineage: Eukaryota; Metazoa; Chordata; Testudines; Emydidae. The record is from RefSeq and is a predicted model, not a curated record. The transcript is spliced from 3 exons.
CCUAGCUCAGGGAGCAGUGGAGACAGGUGAUCUCAUCCUGUCAACCCAAGCAACAUGGGUCUCACUGAGGCUCAGAUGGAAGAUCCCAUGCAUCUCGUGGAGAGGAUGUGUCCAGGAUCCUGGAUAAUGUUUUCUGCAGGAGGUUUGAACGGGGAGAGAUCACUCACUGUCACGACCCAGAGGUCUUCAACCCGGGGCUGUAGGGUUCAUGGAAGCAGCCACACUCCAACCCUCCACCUGGAAGCCUGCUGAAAAUUGCUUACCAAGGACCCAGGAAGUUCAGCCCCAGUUUGAGGCGCCACUCCUGAGGUCCUAUUGGAGGAGUCCCAGAGAAGCUAAUUGGCCCUCUGGCCCUGCUUAAGGCAGCAGCAGGAAAAGGAAACUGACAGAACACCAGGGCUGUUCCCUGUUCUGGACCGUGUGCUGCCUGUUUCUGCCGCCGCUCCCCUGGCUUGAUUUCCUGCCAUCUGAUUUGUGGUUGUGAUCGCAAGUUUCUCUUGUGCUUCUGAUCUUCCAGAAUCCUGACCCAGCUGAGUCUCAACUCAGGUUAUGGCUCACAAUCCAUCUUGGAGCUGAACACCAGAUGGGAGCUGAUAGAUUGUCCUUGGUGGGCCAUGUUCUUGUGUGUGAUGGAGCUGUGUGCCAGAGAGGGCCAGGAGAAGA